This 305-nucleotide ribosomal RNA is filed under the name uncultured bacterium. RNAcentral describes it as "bacterial SSU rRNA". It matches the Rfam family "Bacterial small subunit ribosomal RNA", at positions 334 to 633 of the family's 1533-position model. The record is from RNAcentral.
GAUUCUACGGGGGGCAGCAGUAGGGAAUUUUCGUCAAUGGGCGCAAGCCUGAACGAGCAAUGCCGCGUGAACGAGGAAGGUCUUCGGAUCGUAAAGUUCUGUUGAAGGGGAAAAAGAGCGGAGAGAGGAAAUGCUUUCUGAUUGAUAUUACCCUUCGAGGAAGUCACGGCUAACUACGUGCCAGCAGCCGCGGUAAUACGUAGGUGGCGAGCGUUAUCCGGAAUGAUUGGUCGUAAAGGGUGCGUCGGCGGCCUGCUACGUCUGGCGUGAAAGGUACCGGCUCAACCGGUACAGGCUCUGGCAAC